This 715-nucleotide ribosomal RNA is filed under the name Cystinarius eutactus. Its description in RNAcentral is "eukaryotic LSU rRNA". The stretch from base 299 to 452 matches the Rfam family "5.8S ribosomal RNA". The record is from RNAcentral. Lineage: Eukaryota; Fungi; Basidiomycota; Agaricomycetes; Agaricales; Cortinariaceae.
UAGAGGAAGUAAAAGUCGUAACAAGGUUUCCGUAGGUGAACCUGCGGAAGGAUCAUUAUUGAAAUAAACCUGAUGAGUUGUUGCUGGCUCUCUAGGGAGUAUGUGCACGCUUGUCAUCUUUAUAUCUCCACCUGUGCACUUUUUGUAGACCUUGGAUAUCUCUCUGAUGCUUUUAGCACUCAGGUUGGAGGAUUGACUUGAUUGUCUUUCUUUACACUUCCAGGCCUAUGUUUCUUCAUAUACCCCAUGUAUGUUACAGAAUGUAAUAAAUGGGCCUUUGUGCCUAUAAACCUUAUACAACUUUCAGCAACGGAUCUCUUGGCUCUCGCAUCGAUGAAGAACGCAGCGAAAUGCGAUAAGUAAUGUGAAUUGCAGAAUUCAGUGAAUCAUCGAAUCUUUGAACGCACCUUGCGCUCCUUGGUAUUCCGAGGAGCAUGCCUGUUUGAGUGUCAUUAAUAUAUCAAUCUCUUCAGCUUUUGCUUGAGUGGUUGGAUGUGGGGGCUUUAAAUUUUGCUGGACUUUUUCUUUUUUGAGAAGAUCAGCUCCCCUAAAAUACAUUAGCAGAACAAUUUUGUUGACCGUUCAUUGGUGUGAUAAAUAUCUACGCUAUUGACGUGAAGCAGGUUCAGCUUCUAACAGUCCAUUGACUUGGACAAAUUUUUCAUUAAUGUGACCUCAAAUCAGGUAGGACUACCCGCUGAACUUAAGCAUAUCA